Molecule: long non-coding RNA, 225 nt
Organism: Dendronephthya gigantea
Lineage: Eukaryota; Metazoa; Cnidaria; Anthozoa; Malacalcyonacea; Nephtheidae
Exons: 3
Source: RefSeq, a predicted model, not a curated record
GCUCGGCGUCAAUGUUUCGACCAAAGGGCCCUCGUCAGGAGAGCACCUGCUGUGGAACUAUCAAGAAUGUUAUCAAGGCACUGCCACAUUGCUUUCUGGUUACUAAACCAUUCAAAAAGAUGUUUGGUGAAGAUGUGGUACUAUAUGAUGACCAGUCUGGGCCUUUGGCUUCUCCUGACAGUAAAUUGACAUCAGCAUAUGGAACACCGGAUGCAGUUUGGAAUG